GAAAUCCUGGUAUUGAUUUGGGGAAAUAAGAACCUCCGUGUCCUGCUAUAUGAGUAGAGGAUGACUCACCAAAGCACCCAAGUUGGUUAGAAAGCUUGAUUCAAUAAAGUGAUCUGUUUUAUUUCUACUUCUUUGGUAUUGCUACAUUCUUGUCACGAUUGGUAACUAAAAGUGUCCCCUUUUUGGUUAACUGAAGUGAUUGCAAAGGAGCUGGGCGUGCAGGGGCAUGGGAUGCCCGUGACAGUGACCAACACCACCUACAUGGGCAUGAACGCCCUCCAUGGCACCGCUGGCCUGGGCAAGCCGUGCCGGUCUACCGUAGCUCGUGGAGGUUGUCAAGAUGUAUGUCCACAUGCCGACACUGCUCAGGGUACCUUCUUGAUACUGGCGUUGAUAUAAAUCAGAAACGUUUGAGCAUCACUAGACUUCGACGCUUCCCGCCUUGCCCGUCCGGUGGUCGCUUCUUGUUUGAAUCUGUCAUAGGAUUUGGCGUUGGGGUCCAAUUUCAACGCUGGGGAGAGCUGGUGCCAUGGCGGGCUACUAUGUUGUUGGGGUUCAUUUUCCAACGAUUGUAGUCUUGCAGAGGUUAUGCCUAGGUGCCGUGUGCAGUAGGGUGCUGGCUUGCCCAACACCAUCCCCUGCAUGUGUUCCUCCGUGGACCUCGUCAGAUACUGCGAGGGGCAUGGGAUGGUACAACAGUUGCAUCAAGGAUGAUAAACCAACAUGUGGUGUGCGUGCAAAGGAGCUAGGCGUGCAGGGGCAUGGGAUGCUGGUGACAGUGGACAAAAGCCCCUACAUCGGCAUGAGCGACCUGGACGUCUCCGCGGGCUUCUGCAAGCUGCCGGUCUACGGGUAGCUCGUGGAGGUAGUCAAGGUGUACGUUGACAUGCCAACGCCGCUCAGAGUAACUAAUUCGUCUGCUCAGAGUUGGUCAAGAUGUAAGUGCUGGCCGCUGCCCGUCUGAUUCUGUAGAUGAUGGUACGCAUGUACUGUAGACGUUUGGCUCCACUGGGAAAUUUCCGUCAGUUUGGUUCAUAAGCUGCGAGUGUCUUUACACUAGUGUAAGUUGCAUGUGCAAUUCAACAUUGUUUGUCUGUUUUUAUUUUGUGUCAAUCUCUG
This is a non-coding RNA of Aegilops tauschii subsp. strangulata, 1119 nucleotides long. Lineage: Eukaryota; Viridiplantae; Streptophyta; Magnoliopsida; Poales; Poaceae. The record is from RefSeq and is a predicted model, not a curated record.